UGGGGAAUCUUGCGCAAUGGGGGAAACCUUGACGCAGCAACGCCGCGUGGGUGAUGAAGGCCUUCGGGUCGUAAAGCCCUGUCAGGUGGGAAGAAACAUGUCGGUGCUAAUAUCACCGAUGUUUGACGGUACCGCCGGAGGAAGCACCGGCUAACUCCGUGCCAGCAGCCGCGGUAAUACGGAGGGUGCAAGCGUUGUUCGGAAUUACUGGGCGUAAAGCGCGUGUAGGCGGUCGGGCAAGUCAGAUGUGAAAGCCUUCCGCUUAACGGAAGAAGUGCAUUUGAAACUACCCGGCUGGAGUACGGGAGAGGAGAGUGGAAUUCCCGGUGUAGAGGUGAAAUUCGUAGAUAUCGGGAGGAACACCAGUGGCGAAGGCGGCUCUCUGGUCCGAUACUGACGC
This 400-nucleotide ribosomal RNA is filed under the name uncultured bacterium. Its description in RNAcentral is "bacterial SSU rRNA". It matches the Rfam family "Bacterial small subunit ribosomal RNA", at positions 355 to 746 of the family's 1533-position model. The record is from RNAcentral.